RNAcentral lists this long non-coding RNA (269 nucleotides) under Manacus vitellinus (golden-collared manakin). RNAcentral describes it as "lncRNA (ENSMVIG00005008751.1)". Lineage: Eukaryota; Metazoa; Chordata; Aves; Passeriformes; Pipridae. The record is from RNAcentral.
AAGCUCGUGGACUGGCAGUGCUGGGAGGGUUGGGCCUGACAUGCCUGAGGAGGGCUGUGGAAAAUUGCCUCUUGCCUGCAGUGAUUCCCCUGAAAGAGAGUCCAGUUGGUGAACUGGCUCCUCCUGGGGAGGAGAGUGCCUGGGGUAAGAAGCUCGGAGAUCAUCCUGACGUCACUGCAACCAUGAUUUCACCAGGCUUGUGCACUGUGAGGUUAUCGCGAUCUGAAAUCUCUGCUGCUGGAAAGAGGAAUUUAUUCACAAGACUCUAA